Long non-coding RNA from Pieris napi, 1789 nucleotides. RefSeq lists it as uncharacterized. The transcript is spliced from 2 exons. The record is from RefSeq and is a predicted model, not a curated record. Lineage: Eukaryota; Metazoa; Arthropoda; Insecta; Lepidoptera; Pieridae.
GCUGCGUUUAAAUUAAGCGCGGCAAACCAUCGAACAUUGGCGCGCGCGGCGGCCGCGCUCUAUGUAGACGGGGUCGCCGCGCGCGGCGACUCGAACAUUGCCGCGCUCGAACGUGCCGCGGGUCGAUCCGCUCGAUGUCGGUUUUUGAGACCGCAUCAAAGGUGCUUCAGUCGUUGGCGCGCGCGCAGUUGGGACGGUUAUAGUUUUGGUGAUUUGGCUCGCGCGGCGAAUACGUAAUAAUGGACAACGAAAAGUGCCGUUUACUAAUUCAAUUGUAUGGCGAUAAAGAAUUUUUGUGGAACAGCAAAUCCACCCAAUACCACAAUAAAUCGCUGAGGUAUGAUGCGUGGGUAGAAAUCAGUAAGAAAAUGGAUAUACCUAUUCCGGACUUGAAAAAGAAAAUGACUACACUUUUGGCGUCCUACAGAAGAGAAUAAUCUAGAAUAGCUAAAAGUUGUCGUACUGGUUCUGAUAAGUACCUAUUUAUUUUGCAUUUACAACAAAAAAUAAAACGCAUUUUGUAAUUACGUAAAUAAUUUUUAUUUUUAUUACAGCCACAAAUGAAGUUUACGUUUCGAAGUGGUUUGCUUUCGAUGACUUUAAUUUCAUGAGGGAUAAAGAUCUACCCAAUGAAACAUUGGACACAAUGUCUGAAAAUGAAUAAUGUCAUCUGAAUCUGUGAGUCAAGCAAUCAUAAGUACUUGUGAAGCACUUACAUAUGUCCUACGGGAAUAUAUAAAGGUAAGAAAAAACUACAUGAUACAAUUUUAAUGUUUAUAAUUAUUUAUUGGAACGAAUCACAAAAACUAAAAAAAAAUACCUAUAACUAAUUUUGAACUUAUUCACCUUGGUAAGAAGAGAAUAGCGUCCCUAAAUUAUACUCGAAAUCUGAAGUGCUUGAUGUAUUCGGAAUAUGUAACGUAUAACUUGUCUCACUGUGUCUACGUACAUUGUUCGUAUUUGUAAGGAUCAAAUUAGAAGGCACGCCAGCGAUUACAUUGCUAUGAGUAAAACUUGGAACAUCAUUUGUUUGGGGCGUGGCUGCAACACAAUUUUCCGGAGAUGUAACAGAUUGUAGUGAUUGUACAGAUACAGAAUUCGAGUAAAUCGGUGACGGCGUCGGAUGAGGUACACUAUUCGGUGAUGGUGAUGGCGAUGGAUGACUAUUCGAAGUCUGAGAUACAAAGCGGUUAAAUACUUGAGGGCUAGUGUUAAUUUGUACUGAGUCCCUGUUUAGUGUCCCAAGUUCAGCUUCGAAAAGAAUUUCGUUGAUUGCCUUUUCGGCGAGCAGUCUUUGAGUUGGCAUCAAUUUAUUUAGCUUCUGAGCCCAAUAAACAGCAGUAGGAUCUAUAUUUGGGAAUGAUACACUUGGAAACUCCAUGUAGGAUAAUUAUCACGGCCCGCCAAACGAUCAAUUUGAGCAAAGCUAUGCGACCGGGGGUCCGCCAUUGUAAGCUGAAAAAUUAAUAUGACGACGCGACGUAUCACGCAAUCAAUUUGCAUCAACCUGAUGCCUUUCACUUUAUUAAUCCUACUUCCCUACUUCUAUCCGGGCGUCUGUUCCCAUAACCUGUUACAAACUAUUUUUGAGUUGGAAUUUAGAAAUAAAAUAAAACUGCGUUGAGAUAGUUCUCGUUCCGAUAUGGUGAAAACCGCGCGAUUGUCAGAUCGUGCGGUUUGAAACGCAAAAAUGUCGAAUGUUCAAACAUUGGCGGUUAGUUAGCGAUCAGUUUCAAGAUGGAAGUCGAAGAGGAACUAGCGUGUCUGUGGUUGAUACAGAAAAGAAAAG